Molecule: long non-coding RNA, 736 nt
Organism: Physeter macrocephalus (sperm whale)
Lineage: Eukaryota; Metazoa; Chordata; Mammalia; Artiodactyla; Physeteridae
Exons: 3
Source: RefSeq, a predicted model, not a curated record
CUUCCGUCACUCCAGAAGAGCUCGGAGCUGCAGCCCUUCGGACUCCCGCUUCCGCCAGCAAACUUCAGGUCUUUUAAAAGGUCUCUCACUGUUGUGGCCUCUCCCAUUGCAGAGCACAGGCUCCGGAUGCGCAGGCUCAGUGGCCAUGGCUCAUGGGCCUAGGCACGCCGUGGCAUGUGGGAUCCUCCCGGACCAGGGCACGAACCCAUGUCCUCUGCAUCAGCAAGCAGACUCUCAACCACUGCACUACCAGGGAAGCCUGAGAGUAAAUCUUAAAUGUUCUCACAACAGAAAAGAAAUGCCACGUGGCUGACAGGGUCUUGGUGCUCCUGCCUGGUGUCAGGACUGAGCCUCUGAGGUGGAAGAGCCGAGUUCAGGACACUGCACCACCAGAGACCUCCCAGCCCCACGUAAUAUCAGUUGGCAAAGAGCUCUCCCAAAAACCUCCAUCUCAAUGCUAAGCCCAAUGCCAAACAACUGGCAAGACAGGAACACAACCCUACCCAUUAGCAGAGAGGCUGCCUAAAAUCACACUAAGUUCACAGACACCCCAAAACACACCACUGGAUGUGGCCCUGCCCACCAGAAAGACAAGAUCCAGCUGCGCCCAACAGAACACAGGCACCAGUCCCCUCCGCCAGGAAGCCUACACAACCCACUGAACCAACCUUAGCCACUGGGGGCAGACACCAAAAACAAUGGGAACUACGUACCUGCAGCCUGCGAAAAGGAGACC